GCGGGUGUCGCCAAGCGGUAAGGCAAUAGCUUCCCAAGCUAUUAUUCGUGGGUUCGAAUCCCAUCACCCGCU
This 72-nucleotide transfer RNA is filed under the name Anaerolineales bacterium. Its description in RNAcentral is "tRNA-Gly". It matches the Rfam family "tRNA". From Rfam's summary of the family: Transfer RNA (tRNA) molecules are approximately 80 nucleotides in length. Their secondary structure includes four short double-helical elements and three loops (D, anti-codon, and T loops). The record is from RNAcentral. Lineage: Bacteria; Bacillati; Chloroflexota; Anaerolineae; Anaerolineales.